Molecule: transfer RNA, 72 nt
Filed under: Streptomyces sp. CNZ287
Lineage: Bacteria; Bacillati; Actinomycetota; Actinomycetes; Kitasatosporales; Streptomycetaceae
Description: tRNA-Ile
Rfam family: tRNA
About the family: Transfer RNA (tRNA) molecules are approximately 80 nucleotides in length. Their secondary structure includes four short double-helical elements and three loops (D, anti-codon, and T loops). Further hydrogen bonds mediate the characteristic L-shaped molecular structure. tRNAs have two regions of fundamental functional importance: the anti-codon, which is responsible for specific mRNA codon recognition, and the 3' end, to which the tRNAs corresponding amino acid is attached (by aminoacyl-tRNA synthetases). tRNAs cope with the degeneracy of the genetic code in two manners: having more than one tRNA (with a specific anti-codon) for a particular amino acid; and 'wobble' base-pairing, i.e. permitting non-standard base-pairing at the 3rd anti-codon position.
Source: RNAcentral
GCCUGCGUAGCUCAGCGGCAGAGCGGCCCUCUUAUAAGGGGUUGGUCGCGCGUUCGAAUCGCGCCGCAGGCA